This 253-nucleotide ribosomal RNA is filed under the name uncultured bacterium. RNAcentral describes it as "partial 16S ribosomal RNA". It matches the Rfam family "Bacterial small subunit ribosomal RNA", at positions 524 to 776 of the family's 1533-position model. The record is from RNAcentral.
UACGGGGGGGGCAAGCGUUGUUCGGAAUUACUGGGCGUAAAGGGCUCGUAGGCGGCCAACUAAGUCGGAUGUGAAAUCCCCAAGCUUAACUUGGGAACUGCAUCCGAUACUGGAUGGCUUGAAUCCGGGAGAGGGAUGCAGAAUUCCAGGUGUAGCGGUGAAAUGCGUAGAUAUCGGAAGGAACAUCAGUGGCGAAAGCGGCUUCCUGGACCAGUACCGACGUUCAGGCACGAAAGCGUGGGGAGCAAACAGG